RNAcentral lists this ribosomal RNA (468 nucleotides) under uncultured bacterium. RNAcentral's name for it is "partial 16S ribosomal RNA". It matches the Rfam family "Bacterial small subunit ribosomal RNA", at positions 28 to 507 of the family's 1533-position model. The record is from RNAcentral.
GACGAACGCUGGCGGCGUGCUUAACACAUGCAAGUCGAACGGAAAGGCCCUGCUUUUGUGGGGUGCUCGAGUGGCGGACGGGUGAGUAACACGUGAGUAACCUGCCCUUGACUUUGGGAUAACUUCAGGAAACUGGGGCUAAUACCGGAUAGGAGCUCCUGCUGCAUGGUGGGGGUUGGAAAGUUUCGGCGGUUGGGGAUGGACUCGCGGCUUAUCAGCUUGUUGGUGGGGUAGUGGCUUACCAAGGCUUUGACGGGUAGCCGGCCUGAGAGGGUGACCGGCCACACUGGGACUUAGAUACGGCCCAGACUCCUACGGGAGGCAGCAGUGGGGAAUAUUGCACAAUGGGCGGAAGCCUGAUGCAGCAACGUCGCGUGCGGGAUGACGGCCUUCGGGUUGUAAACCGCUUUCGCCUGUGACGAAGCGUGAGUGACGGUAAUGGGUAAAGAAGCACCGGCUAACUACGUG